RNAcentral lists this ribosomal RNA (253 nucleotides) under uncultured bacterium. RNAcentral's name for it is "partial 16S ribosomal RNA". It matches the Rfam family "Bacterial small subunit ribosomal RNA", at positions 524 to 776 of the family's 1533-position model. The record is from RNAcentral.
UACAGAGGUCCCGAGCGUUGUUCGGAUUCAUUGGGCGUAAAGGGUGCGUAGGCGGCGGGGGAAGUCUGAUGUGAAAUCCUGGGGCUCAACCCUGGAACUGCAUUGGAUACUUCCUUGCUAGAGUACUGGAGAGGAAACUGGAAUUUACGGUGUAGCAGUGAAAUGCGUAGAGAUCGUAAGGAAGACCAGUGGCGAAGGCGAGAUUCUGGACAGUUACUGACGCUGAGGCACGAAGGCCAGGGGAGCAAACGGG